AGUGAACGCUGGCGGUAGGCCUAACACAUGCAAGUCGAACGGCAGCACAGUAAGAGCUUGCUCUUACGGGUGGCGAGUGGCUGACGGGUGAGGAAUACAUCGGAAUCUACUUUUUCGUGGGGGAUAACGUAGGGAAACUUACGCUAAUACCGCAUACGACCUACGGGUGAAAGCAGUGGAUCUUCGGACCUUGCUCGAUUUAAUUAGCCGAUGUCGGAUUAGCUAGUUGGCGGGGUAAAGGCCCACCAAGGCGACGAUCCGUAGCUGGUCUGAGAGGAUGAUCAGCCAAACUGGAACUGAGACACGGUCCAGACUCCUACGGAAGGCGGCAGUGGGGAAUAUUGGACAAUGGGCGCAAGCCUGAUCCAGCCAUACCGCGUGGGUGAAGAAGGCCUUCGGGUUGUAAAGCCCUUUUGUUGGGAAAGAAAAGCAGCAGGUUAAUACCCCGCUGUUCUGACGGUACCCAAAGAAUAAGCACCGGCUAACUUCGUG
Molecule: ribosomal RNA, 492 nt
Filed under: uncultured bacterium
Lineage: Bacteria
Description: partial 16S ribosomal RNA
Rfam family: Bacterial small subunit ribosomal RNA
Source: RNAcentral